This 1384-nucleotide long non-coding RNA is filed under the name Apteryx haastii (Great spotted kiwi). RNAcentral's name for it is "lncRNA (ENSAHAG00000009756.1)". Lineage: Eukaryota; Metazoa; Chordata; Aves; Apterygiformes; Apterygidae. The record is from RNAcentral.
UAGAAACAAAAGAAAGCGUCCAACUUCGGCAGACGCGGCUCUGAAGGUGUGAACGGCGCCAGGCUCCGGAGCGGGGUGCGCGCGAGGCAUCCUGCAGCAGCCGCUCGCCACCGCUUUGCAACAGCAGCGGACGCCGCCGGCRCGCGGUGCGCCGGGGCAGCACGCGGAGUUGGAAACCCACCGGCGCGCCAAUGCUGCGGCGGAGGGGCCAGGGGCCGUGGGGAGAGGGGGAGCCCCGCUGCGCUGGGGGGGCCGGAGAGCGACGCGAAGCAGGACGCGCGGCGUCGGGCUGACGAGUUUCGUGGGCGCCUCGGAGCCUCGGCGGCUGCAGGUCUGUCUCGGGGCCGGUGUUUCGGGGCUGCGGAGCGGGGAGAGGGAAGGGCAGAGCCCAGCGCGGCCCCCUCGUUGCGGGCCGCGCUCCUGCGGCGUUGGUGCUCGGUGGUUUCUGGAGGAAGCCGGUCGCGUACGGGGUGCGUAGGGAAACGACUUUCUCGCAGCCGGGGCGACGCUGUCUGGGCGAGCCRGAGCCCGCGGCAGGGCUUGCACGCGGCCGUGCUUCGUGUUGGGGGUCUUCCCGGCRCCCUGGCGGGUUCCUGAGGUGGUGCUACCGCCCCCAGCCUCGCUCCGAUCCUCCGCCGCUUCGUCCUUUCCCUUCUUUUCCUUUCUUUUUAACACGGAACGCGAGCGAUGAGUUGCGUUGAGCACAGCUGCCCUGCUGGGCUGAACUCGCUCUCGGGGUCUCGUUCGAGGUGGCCGGCGAGGAAGGUGCCGCGCAGCACGCGGUGGUCUUGGGUCCCCCCCGAYGCCCCCCCUGCGCCGGCCCUGCAGCGCGCGCGCUCGCUCGCUCGCUCGUGCCCAAGCGUCGAGGUGCUUUUCUGAGCUGUAGAACUAGCGGGAGCUGGAAGGYGCCGCGGGGUCCGGCGCCGGCAGGGCGUCUCUUCGCCUCGCAGAGCGUYGGGAGGCCGCGGCUCAUGGUGGGAGCCCGGCCCAGCUGCCUCUGGGGCUGUGCCCUCGUGGAAACCGUGCGGAAACUCCUCUCACCCGAGGGGACGGAAGGAUCGUGCCCGGGGUGGAGGCUGGGUCUGGCAGGAGGAGUCGUGCUGCGGCGCGUUCGGCCCCCGCCGUGCCCCUGCCCUGCCGAGCUUGCUGCAGGCAGGAGAAAGCCGGGGCCUCGCUCCGGGUGGGAGGAAGGUUGAGAGAGGAUUCGCCGCGGUGUGACGUGCGUUGCGUCGCUCCGUGCGACCUGUCCUGGAGACCAGACCCGAUCCAGCUGGCAAAGCUGAUCCUCAAGCACAAGCACGCAGCAGCGUGGCUGGAGACGGAUUCAAGUGCCUCUUCCAAGACCUCCGUGCCUUGCUUGCACCUGCUGUCCGGCGUUUGCCCC